RNAcentral lists this transfer RNA (61 nucleotides) under Neomaskellia andropogonis. Its description in RNAcentral is "tRNA-Lys". Lineage: Eukaryota; Metazoa; Arthropoda; Insecta; Hemiptera; Aleyrodidae. The record is from RNAcentral.
UUAAAGUUAAUUUUAAAAGUUUUGAAAACUUUUUUUAGAUUAAGCAAUCUUUAACUUUUAA